Molecule: ribosomal RNA, 1029 nt
Filed under: Acinetobacter sp. TTAG
Lineage: Bacteria; Pseudomonadati; Pseudomonadota; Gammaproteobacteria; Moraxellales; Moraxellaceae
Description: bacterial SSU rRNA
Rfam family: Bacterial small subunit ribosomal RNA
Source: RNAcentral
AGUGGACGUUACUCGCAGAAUAAGCACCGGCUAACUCUGUGCCAGCAGCCGCGGUAAUACAGAGGGUGCAAGCGUUAAUCGGAUUUACUGGGCGUAAAGCGCGCGUAGGCGGCUAAUUAAGUCAAAUGUGAAAUCCCCGAGCUUAACUUGGGAAUUGCAUUCGAUACUGGUUAGCUAGAGUGUGGGAGAGGAUGGUAGAAUUCCAGGUGUAGCGGUGAAAUGCGUAGAGAUCUGGAGGAAUACCGAUGGCGAAGGCAGCCAUCUGGCCUAACACUGACGCUGAGGUGCGAAAGCAUGGGGAGCAAACAGGAUUAGAUACCCUGGUAGUCCAUGCCGUAAACGAUGUCUACUAGCCGUUGGGGCCUUUGAGGCUUUAGUGGCGCAGCUAACGCGAUAAGUAGACCGCCUGGGGAGUACGGUCGCAAGACUAAAACUCAAAUGAAUUGACGGGGGCCCGCACAAGCGGUGGAGCAUGUGGUUUAAUUCGAUGCAACGCGAAGAACCUUACCUGGCCUUGACAUAGUAAGAACUUUCCAGAGAUGGAUUGGUGCCUUCGGGAACUUACAUACAGGUGCUGCAUGGCUGUCGUCAGCUCGUGUCGUGAGAUGUUGGGUUAAGUCCCGCAACGAGCGCAACCCUUUUCCUUAUUUGCCAGCGAGUAAUGUCGGGAACUUUAAGGAUACUGCCAGUGACAAACUGGAGGAAGGCGGGGACGACGUCAAGUCAUCAUGGCCCUUACGGCCAGGGCUACACACGUGCUACAAUGGUCGGUACAAAGGGUUGCUACCUAGCGAUAGGAUGCUAAUCUCAAAAAGCCGAUCGUAGUCCGGAUUGGAGUCUGCAACUCGACUCCAUGAAGUCGGAAUCGCUAGUAAUCGCGGAUCAGAAUGCCGCGGUGAAUACGUUCCCGGGCCUUGUACACACCGCCCGUCACACCAUGGGAGUUUGUUGCACCAGAAGUAGCUAGCCUAACUGUAAAGAGGGCGGUUACCACGGUGUGGCCGAUGACUGGGGUGAAGUCGUAACAAG